GACUAUAGACUAGACUAUAAACUACACUAUAGAAUACACCAUAGACUAGACUUGAGACUAGACUGUGGACUACACUAUAGACUGCCUAGACUGUAGACUAUAGACUAAACUACAGUCUAUAAUAUGGGUUAAACCAUGAACUAUAUUCUAAACUAAUGACUACAUUUACAACUAGACUAUAGACUUAACUAUAUAUUAAAAAUAUAAACAAAUUUGUAACUCGUUUUAAUUUAAAUUUGUUUAAAUUUAGUUCUUAAAUUAUCCAAAUUGAAAAUUUCACGUCCCUAUUGAUAUUUGUCACAAGGUAGAGGAAAACUCUUUAAAGACGUGAAAUUUUUUCUCAAUUAUUACUUUAUUAAUUCAUUUAUUUUUCCCUUCCAUUAAGAUUCAAUGACAUUGAAAAGGCAACAAAUGCUAAAUGCAAAGUAGAACAAAUACAGCGAGAAGAAGCCAAGGCUAGAAAAGAAACUGAAAUGUCCUGGGAACAUAAGUAUUUCAAACCUGUGGGUGAAAAUUGGAUCUAUACGAAACCCUUAAGCCAGCGUGUUUAUUUACAAGAAAAAGAAAGUAAAAGAUAAUAAAGCUAAAUGCUAAAAAUGUGCAAAGUAUAAUAAAUAAUAUGAAAAAGGAAACAUCUGUCUCAUAUCACUAAAUAAAAAGUAAAAAGAAAUUAAACGAAUGCCGCCAAAUGAAAAACAAACAAGAAAACAAAAUAACUAGUAAAGGAAAUAUUAAGUAAUAAAUGUUUAUAAUAAAAAAAGACAACAAAAACUACAUAAAUCAUUAAAUCAUGAUUGUUAUUUUAUAAUAUAAUUAAUUAUUACAAACACUAAAUAAAAACGUAAAUCAA
This is a long non-coding RNA of Lucilia cuprina (Australian sheep blowfly), 850 nucleotides long. RefSeq lists it as uncharacterized. The transcript is spliced from 2 exons. The record is from RefSeq and is a predicted model, not a curated record. Lineage: Eukaryota; Metazoa; Arthropoda; Insecta; Diptera; Calliphoridae.